RNAcentral lists this RNase P RNA (222 nucleotides) under Acidobacteriota bacterium. RNAcentral's name for it is "Acidobacteria bacterium partial RNase P RNA component class A". It matches the Rfam family "Bacterial RNase P class A", at positions 1 to 201 of the family's 367-position model. Rfam says of the family: Ribonuclease P (RNase P) is a ubiquitous endoribonuclease, found in archaea, bacteria and eukarya as well as chloroplasts and mitochondria. The record is from RNAcentral. Lineage: Bacteria; Pseudomonadati; Acidobacteriota.
CAGCUGGACCGGACGGUCGCUCUCGCUGCGUCCAGCGGCGAGGGAGGAAAGUCCGAACUCCGCAGAGCAGUGUGCCGGAUAACGUCCGGGAGGGUGGAUUCAAGUCCACUCGACGGAAAGUGCCACAGAAAACAUACCGCCUAAAGCCUGCUUUCGAGCGGGUGCCAGGUAAGGGUGAAAAGGUGCGGUAAGAGCGCACCGCCGCCGCAGUAAUGUGGCGGG